This 501-nucleotide ribosomal RNA is filed under the name uncultured bacterium. RNAcentral's name for it is "bacterial SSU rRNA". It matches the Rfam family "Bacterial small subunit ribosomal RNA", at positions 33 to 518 of the family's 1533-position model. The record is from RNAcentral.
GACGCUGGCGGCGUGCCUAACACAUGCAGGUCGAGCGGGGACAUACGACGGAACCAAAGUUUCGGAUGGAGGUGAAGAUGUAUGUUCUAGCGGCGGACGGGUGAGUAACGCGUGAGCAACCUGUCCCUUACAGGGGGAUAACACAGCGAAAGUUGUACUAAUACCGCAUGAGACCACGGGGAGACAUCUUUCUGAGGUCAAAGGAGCAAUCCGGUAAGGGGUGGGCUCGCGUCCGAUUAGAUAGUUGGUGAGGUAACGGCCCACCAAGUCGACGAUCGGUAGCCGACCUGAGAGGGUGAUCGGCCACAUUGGGACUGAGACACGGCCCAAACUCCUACGGGAGGCAGCAGUGGGGAAUAUUGGGCAAUGGGGGGAACCCUGAACCCCCAGCAACGCCGCGUGAGGGAAGAAGGUUUUCGGAUCGUAAACCUCUGUCCUUGGUGAAGAGUGAGAGACGGUAGCCAAGGAGGGAGCCCCGGCUAACUACGUGCCAGCAGCUGC